Molecule: long non-coding RNA, 1383 nt
Filed under: Canis lupus familiaris (dog)
Lineage: Eukaryota; Metazoa; Chordata; Mammalia; Carnivora; Canidae
Description: lncRNA (ENSCAFG00845001969.1)
Source: RNAcentral
UGGGUUGUCCUUAUUCUUUUUUGCAUGCCUACUCAGCCCAGACUCACUAUCUUUGGGAACUAUGCCCCCAACACACACACACACACACACACACACACACACACACACACAAAUGAAUUCCUGUAGCCAUAACCAUAUUAUAUGGCCAUGGCGCUUUGGCACAGUUGGUUGGACCAGGAAUGGACCUUUGCCCUUAAGGAAAUUCAAUUCAUUGGCUGUGUAUGGCCAGUCAGAUGAUCUCUGGUGGAUGUGAAUCAAUGGAUGAGAAGACUGAGUACUGAUGGGCAGUCCUCUAAUUCUGGACCAUUAGACCGACAGUCCAUACUUUCCUACAAAGUCACCAGUUCUUGAGGCUUAGUUCAGCUUUCCUUGGAUUCUGUGAUGUACCCAAUAUCUUUCCAUAAAUACUCUCCUUCUCUCUCUCUGUCUGUCUCUCUCUCUCUCCUCUUUCUGCUUACUUGACUGGAUUUCUGUUAUAUGAAACUAAAUAUUCCAUAAGACACUCUAUCUUUGAGAAGGCCCCUACUGUUACUCUCAAACAUCAAACCAUAUGCCCCCGCUACUUCCAAAACUGUUUUUAAAAAAAGAUUUACUUAUUUUAGGGGAGAGAGAGAGCAUAUGUGAGUAGGAGGAGGGACAGAGGGACAGGAAGAGGGAAAGAGAAUCCACAGGCAGACACCCCACAGAGUGUGAGGCCCCACACAGGGCUUGAUCCAAGAGUCAUCUGCUUUAAGUGAAUGAAUCACCCAGGCGCCUCCUCUACUACCAAACUCUUAAUCUCAAAUCUUAGUAACCAUUUAAACCAUGCUUCUCAAUGCAGGCUACAAUUGAAAAUUACUUGGAAAUUUUAUAAAACCUAUCAGUGCCCCAGCCACAUCCUACACUGGUUGAGUCUGAAACUCCAAGUGCAGGGCCUUGAUAUUAAAAAUGACUUUAAGAUUCCCCAGAUAAUUCUAAGAACCACCCAAGACGGCAAAACACUGGAAUAUGACAAUAACCACCCAUUCUGCCGAUGUAUCCAGUGAAGGUCAUACUCACUGUAAACUUUAUCUGGCUGUGAUGUCUGUGCUAAGAAAAUCAGAUAUAGAAACAUCAUUAAAAAAAACAACAGACAGGGAGCCUGGGUGGCUCAGUCAGUUGGGCAUCUGCCUUCAGCUUGGGUCAUGAUCCCAGGGUCCCAGGAUCAAGCCUCUCUUCAGGCUCCCUGCUCGGUGGGGAGUCUGCUUCUCCUUCUCUCUCUGCCUCCUCCCCCCGCUCAUGCUUUGUCUCUCUCUCUCUCUCUCUCUCUCUCAAGUAAAUAAAUAAAAUCUUCUUUAAAAAUUAUCAAGGUAAUUCUUCCCUUUAAAGGAGAUUUAUUUCUCUUUCCAAUAUGGUAUUUUUUAC